AAGUCGUAACAAGGUCUCCGUAGGUGAACCUGCGGAGGGAUCAUUAGAAAAUCCAAACCUGCGCAUGCACGGCUUUUCGCUGUGCUGCGCACCCACUAUCUAUGCCUGGGUUUUUCACUGCUGGACCUUGCGUUCGGCGGUGGCCUAGUUGCUAUCUAUAUACACCUAACUACUGCUGCGAGCCGUCAUGGCUUUGCGUGGUAAACUGAACCUUUUUCUCCUUCCUAUCUGUAUUCGCCUUUACGGCUGUAUUGAUGGAAAGAAUAAAAACCAAAAACAACUUUUAACAAUGGAUCCCUCGGCUCUCC
Molecule: unclassified non-coding RNA, 308 nt
Filed under: fungal sp.
Lineage: Eukaryota; Fungi
Description: partial internal transcribed spacer region
Rfam family: Eukaryotic small subunit ribosomal RNA (bases 1-46)
Source: RNAcentral